Molecule: long non-coding RNA, 615 nt
Organism: Esox lucius (northern pike)
Lineage: Eukaryota; Metazoa; Chordata; Actinopteri; Esociformes; Esocidae
Exons: 3
Source: RefSeq, a predicted model, not a curated record
UUUCAUAAAGGUAUGCAUGUGACAUACAGGUCAUCUGUAUGCUAAGAGAGCGAACGCUUGGCAACAGCCCAACCCGUCUGGUCAAGCAGCUGACAGAGAACCACAUUGAGGAGUGGUUGGACCGCCUAGCUGACUAAUUUGGGGAAUGUGCUGCUUUUGUGGACAAGCCCAGCCUCUUCCCAGUGGCCUGUAGGAGCCCCCAGAGCCUCUUGAUGUCCCCACCAGCCGAUGGCUACUGUCUAUUUAUGGAUGGGACAUCAUCAGGCGUAUGGACCACAUCAAGGCCAGAAUUACCUCCACAUUUGGGUCCAUUUUAAAAAUUGACUCCACCAAGAAGUUUAUUUCAUAGAACCAGCUGUAUCUCCUGGAAGGCCUGAACAGGUGGAAUCAGGACCGAGCUGUUGCAUCCCUCUCCACCAAACCCUCCUUACUGCUGAGCUACGCUGGGGACGUGGUUCAGUGUGUGAACAAAAACAGCAUGAAGUUGUUUGGCCUGAAAUAUGUGUCCUCUUUCCGCCCCCCUACAAAAUACACUGGAGAGCUGAUAGGCAUGGACUAUCUGCUCCUUCAGACAGGGCAGCCUUUGCGGAGGGUGGACCCCGACACAGAGUAGAC